Molecule: non-coding RNA, 1120 nt
Organism: Maylandia zebra (zebra mbuna)
Lineage: Eukaryota; Metazoa; Chordata; Actinopteri; Cichliformes; Cichlidae
Source: RefSeq, a predicted model, not a curated record
AAGUGCACUACCGUUCUCCACGCCCUUCCUGUCUAUCUGCAUGAGGAUGUCUCUGGAUUUUUCAGAACCUGCACUGACGAAUCUGAUGAGUUGGAGCUUGAUGGUGUUGAAGUGGCCCUCUUCACUGUCAUCAGUGACCAUGACACAACAAGUCCAGUUCACUACCAACCUGUGAAAAUCUCUGUCGUCAUUGAAAGUGAUGCCGUGUUCAGUCUCCCCAGAUUUGGUGAAGCCUUCCUAGUAAUGUUUGGACUGAUCUAUGCACUUCACCUCAGCUACCCCAAAGCCCUGACCAACACUUUAGAAUUUACUCAAAAGAUUUUAUUUGGUCUAGAAAGUGGUAAACUGUCACCCAGGUUACAGACCCUCAAGAAUGACUUGGUUAUGUAGGAACUCAUCUGAAAGAAGGAUGCAGGGUGAAGCAUUAUAAAAGGCUAGUUCAAAGUUCUCUCCUUUCAUCUAAAUAAUGCCUCAAAACAUUAUUAGAUUACUCUACAGGUGUUCAGCCAAUAGGUCCAAACUAUACAACGUGCCUUUGUUCUCAUUAACAUAAUGCAAAGCAACACUAAUGUUUUGUAUGUUUUAAUGUUUUUCGUAAUACUAUUUCCAAAACAUUGUGGGCUGCGCAAGAUGACCUAAAUUUCACUGUUUGAUACUGGUUAAUGUAAAACAAAUAGCAUUGUAAUUCACUCAAAUUGCUGCCUUGUUGUCUUAUUCAGAUAUUAGCCAGAGAGCCAAAAGCACAUUUUGAUAUUAUUAAUUAUUAUUUUUCAUUACUCUGACAGUUUUCCUGACUAAACAAUUUUUGGUCUACUUAUUUUAAUUUAUAAAUGUUUUUGUUAAUUAUUUUUAAUUUAUGUAAUUUUUUUUUUUAAAUGUAUUUAAUUUCAACAUAGUGCUAAAAGGGAGCAGGCAAGAUACUGUUCAAUGGCAGAUGUUUAUGACUUUUGCAUAUUAAGUUACCGAUACUCAGUGUAAUUGAGGCAAUCAAUUGCCUCAAAAAUUUUAAGUUUUGGGUCACAUGUUUUUAAGUAUCAAGUAGUCAACAUAUUUGACUAACGUGUACUUAAAAUAAUGACAACACAAACUAAUAAACAUUUGAGUUUUGUUAACAUAAAAA